This 636-nucleotide long non-coding RNA is filed under the name Manihot esculenta (cassava). Its description in RNAcentral is "long non-coding RNA (MESC_LNC005803)". Lineage: Eukaryota; Viridiplantae; Streptophyta; Magnoliopsida; Malpighiales; Euphorbiaceae. The record is from RNAcentral.
AUCGUAGCCAUGAUUGGCCAUAAAACAUGGAGGAGGUGUACUCUCGUCAUCACAAUCGUGUCUCCCUAGAAAAGCUCCACAAGUCGCUGCCAUGUUGCCCUUUGCUAGACAAGAAAACAAUCAAAGAAUAGGAUACUUGCAUGCAAAUUAAAGGAGCAACACAUGAAAAACACAAAUAUACUCGGCAAAUCUAAAAAAAAAGAAAAAAAAAUCCAAUAUCACUGGAUUUGCCUAUAACACACAAACAAUGAAGGAAAAGUAAAAUAAUAAGGCUUCCUCUUUAAAGAAUUCUACAAGAUUUGCGCAAGAAAAAAAGUUACAAAGCAUUUGAGAGAGCGGAGGCAACAAAAAAAGUUAGAAAACAAGGGAAACAAAAGACUUGAAAAUAGUAAAAUGAUUUACCACGAGGAGCAUCUCUUAGAAAUUGUCUCCCAACUCCUCUUGGAACCGCGAGCGAAAAGCCACUUGUUAUUUGGUGGAGUAGGUCAGAUGGCUGGUGAGAGUAAGGAAGCGCAAAUUAGAGAUAUCAGAUAUCCCAUUGAAUAUCUUUUCGCGCAGUAUUUCAAUCACAAAAGUCGCCGUGGAUCCAGACAAAGAAAAUUCACUCUUUGAACAUAUGAUAAUGAUAAAAAGUCA